RNAcentral lists this ribosomal RNA (478 nucleotides) under uncultured bacterium. RNAcentral describes it as "partial 16S ribosomal RNA". It matches the Rfam family "Bacterial small subunit ribosomal RNA", at positions 28 to 523 of the family's 1533-position model. The record is from RNAcentral.
GACGAACGCUGGCGGCGUGCUUAACACAUGCAAGUCGAACGGUAAGGCCCUUCGGGGUACACGAGUGGCGAACGGGUGAGUAACACGUGGGUGAUCUGCCCUGCACUUCGGGAUAAGCCUGGGAAACUGGGUCUAAUACCGGAUAGGACCCUGGGAUGCAUGUCCUGGGGUGGAAAGCUUUUGCGGGGUGGGAUGGGCCCGCGGCCUAUCAGCUUGUUGGUGGGGUGAGGACCUACCAAGGCGACGACGGGUAGCCGGCCUGGGAGGGUGACCGGCCACACUGGGCCUGAGGUAGGGCCCAGACUCCUACGGGAGGCAGCAGUGGGGAAUAUUGCACAAUGGGCGCAAGCCUGAUGCAGCGACGCCGCGUGAGGGAUGACGGCCUUCGGGUUGUAAACCUCUUUCAGCACCGACGAAGCGCAAGUGACGGUAGGUGCAGAAGAAGGACCGGCCAACUACGUGCCAGCCGCCGCCGUAA